Molecule: ribosomal RNA, 1639 nt
Filed under: Escherichia coli
Lineage: Bacteria; Pseudomonadati; Pseudomonadota; Gammaproteobacteria; Enterobacterales; Enterobacteriaceae
Description: partial 23S ribosomal RNA
Rfam family: Bacterial large subunit ribosomal RNA
Source: RNAcentral
GAAUACCGGAGAAUGUUAUCACGGGAGACACACGGCGGGUGCUAACGUCCGUCGUGAAGAGGGAAACAACCCAGACCGCCAGCUAAGGUCCCAAAGUCAUGGUUAAGUGGGAAACGAUGUGGGAAGGCCCAGACAGCCAGGAUGUUGGCUUAGAAGCAGCCAUCAUUUAAAGAAAGCGUAAUAGCUCACUGGUCGAGUCGGCCUGCGCGGAAGAUGUAACGGGGCUAAACCAUGCACCGAAGCUGCGGCAGCGACACUAUGUGUUGUUGGGUAGGGGAGCGUUCUGUAAGCCUGUGAAGGUGGCCUGUGAGGGUUGCUGGAGGUAUCAGAAGUGCGAAUGCUGACAUAAGUAACGAUAAAGCGGGUGAAAAGCCCGCUCGCCGGAAGACCAAGGGUUCCUGUCCAACGUUAAUCGGGGCAGGGUGAGUCGACCCCUAAGGCGAGGCCGAAAGGCGUAGUCGAUGGGAAACAGGUUAAUAUUCCUGUACUUGGUGUUACUGCGAAGGGGGGACGGAGAAGGCUAUGUUGGCCGGGCGACGGUUGUCCCGGUUUAAGCGUGUAGGCUGGUUUUCCAGGCAAAUCCGGAAAACCAAGGCUGAGGCGUGAUGACGAGGCACUACGGUGCUGAAGCGACAAAUGCCCUGCUUCCAGGAAAAGCCUCUAAGCAUCAGGUAACAUCAAAUCGUACCCCAAACCGACACAGGUGGUCAGGUAGAGAAUACCAAGGCGCUUGAGAGAACUCGGGUGAAGGAACUAGGCAAAAUGGUGCCGUAACUUCGGGAGAAGGCACGCUGAUAUGUAGGUGAAGCGACUUGCUCGUGGAGCUGAAAUCAGUCGAAGAUACCAGCUGGCUGCAACUGUUUAUUAAAAACACAGCACUGUGCAAACACGAAAGUGGACGUAUACGGUGUGACGCCUGCCCGGUGCCGGAAGGUUAAUUGAUGGGGUUAGCGGCAACGCGAAGCUCUUGAUCGAAGCCCCGGUAAACGGCGGCCGUAACUAUAACGGUCCUAAGGUAGCGAAAUUCCUUGUCGGGUAAGUUCCGACCUGCACGAAUGGCGUAAUGAUGGCCAGGCUGUCUCCACCCGAGACUCAGUGAAAUUGAACUCGCUGUGAAGAUGCAGUGUACCCGCGGCAAGACGGAAAGACCCCGUGAACCUUUACUAUAGCUUGACACUGAACAUUGAGCCUUGAUGUGUAGGAUAGGUGGGAGGCUUUGAAGUGUGGACGCCAGUCUGCAUGGAGCCGACCUUGAAAUACCACCCUUUAAUGUUUGAUGUUCUAACGUUGGCCCGUAAUCCGGGUUGCGGACAGUGUCUGGUGGGUAGUUUGACUGGGGCGGUCUCCUCCUAAAGAGUAACGGAGGAGCACGAAGGUUGGCUAAUCCUGGUCGGACAUCAGGAGGUUAGUGCAAUGGCAUAAGCCAGCUUGACUGCGAGCGUGACGGCGCGAGCAGGUGCGAAAGCAGGUCAUAGUGAUCCGGUGGUUCUGAAUGGAAGGGCCAUCGCUCAACGGAUAAAAGGUACUCCGGGGAUAACAGGCUGAUACCGCCCAAGAGUUCAUAUCGACGGCGGUGUUUGGCACCUCGAUGUCGGCUCAUCACAUCCUGGGGCUGAAGUAGGUCCCAAGGGUAUGGCUG